CGUCCAGCCCGCUCAGAAACUCAAAGGAAUUAGACGGGGGCCCGCACAAGCGGAGGAGCAUGUGGUUUAAUUCGAUGAUACGCGAGGAACCUUACCUGGGCUCGAACGUAAGAUGACUGUAGGUGAAAGCUUACAUCUCUUCGGAGCAUUUUACGAGGUGCUGCAUGGUUGUCGUCAGCUCGUGCCGUGAGGUGUCGGGUUAAGUCCCAUAACGAGCGCAACCCUACCUUUAGUUGCCAUCAGGUAAUGCUGGGGACUCUAAAGGAACUGCCUACGCAAGUAGUGAGGAAGGCGGGGAUGACGUCAAAUCAGCACGGCCCUUACGUCCAGGGCUACACACGUGCUACAAUGGCCGAUACAGAGGGCAGCUACCUGGUGACAGGAUGCAAAUCUCCAAAGUCGGUCUCAGUUCGGAUCGGAGUCUGCAACCCGACUCCGUGAAGUUGGAUUCGCUAGUAAUCGCGCAUCAGCCAUGGCGCGGUGAAUACGUUCCCGGGCCUU
RNAcentral lists this ribosomal RNA (501 nucleotides) under uncultured Sphingobacteriales bacterium. RNAcentral's name for it is "bacterial SSU rRNA". It matches the Rfam family "Bacterial small subunit ribosomal RNA", at positions 903 to 1382 of the family's 1533-position model. Lineage: Bacteria; Pseudomonadati; Bacteroidota; Sphingobacteriia; Sphingobacteriales. The record is from RNAcentral.